UACAGAGGGAGCUAGCGUUAUUCGGAAUGAUUGGGCGUAAAGGACGCGUAGGCGGCCUUGUAAGUCUUUAGUGAAAUCCCCGGGCUCAACCCGGGAACUACUUGAGAUACUGCAUGGCUAGAGUAUGGGAGAGGCAAGUGGAAGCUUUGGUGUAGAGGUGAAAUUCUUAGAUAUCAGAGAGAACGUCAGUGGCGAAAGCGACUUGCUGGAACAUUUCUGACGCUGAGGCGUGAAAGCGUAGGGAGCAAAUCGG
This 253-nucleotide ribosomal RNA is filed under the name uncultured bacterium. Its description in RNAcentral is "partial 16S ribosomal RNA". It matches the Rfam family "Bacterial small subunit ribosomal RNA", at positions 524 to 776 of the family's 1533-position model. The record is from RNAcentral.